RNAcentral lists this ribosomal RNA (539 nucleotides) under Bifidobacterium longum subsp. infantis. RNAcentral's name for it is "bacterial SSU rRNA". It matches the Rfam family "Bacterial small subunit ribosomal RNA", at positions 157 to 710 of the family's 1533-position model. Lineage: Bacteria; Bacillati; Actinomycetota; Actinomycetes; Bifidobacteriales; Bifidobacteriaceae. The record is from RNAcentral.
CGGGUGGUAAUGCCGGAUGCUCCAGUUGAUCGCAUGGUCUUCUGGGAAAGCUUUCGCGGUAUGGGAUGGGGUCGCGUCCUAUCAGCUUGACGGCGGGGUAACGGCCCACCGUGGCUUCGACGGGUAGCCGGCCUGAGAGGGCGACCGGCCACAUUGGGACUGAGAUACGGCCCAGACUCCUACGGGAGGCAGCAGUGGGGAAUAUUGCACAAUGGGCGCAAGCCUGAUGCAGCGACGCCGCGUGAGGGAUGGAGGCCUUCGGGUUGUAAACCUCUUUUAUCGGGGAGCAAGCGAGAGUGAGUUUACCCGUUGAAUAAGCACCGGCUAACUACGUGCCAGCAGCCGCGGUAAUACGUAGGGUGCAAGCGUUAUCCGGAAUUAUUGGGCGUAAAGGGCUCGUAGGCGGUUCGUCGCGUCCGGUGUGAAAGUCCAUCGCUUAACGGUGGAUCCGCGCCGGGUACGGGCGGGCUUGAGUGCGGUAGGGGAGACUGGAAUUCCCGGUGUAACGGUGGAAUGUGUAGAUAUCGGAAAGGAACACC